Molecule: transfer RNA, 60 nt
Filed under: Ixodes pavlovskyi
Lineage: Eukaryota; Metazoa; Arthropoda; Arachnida; Ixodida; Ixodidae
Description: tRNA-Leu
Source: RNAcentral
ACUAAUUUGGCAGAAAAAUUGUGUCAAAUUUAGAAUUUGAGAAUGGGUUACCAAUUAGUA